This 253-nucleotide ribosomal RNA is filed under the name uncultured bacterium. RNAcentral's name for it is "partial 16S ribosomal RNA". It matches the Rfam family "Bacterial small subunit ribosomal RNA", at positions 524 to 776 of the family's 1533-position model. The record is from RNAcentral.
UACGGAGGGGGCUAGCGUUGUUCGGAAUUACUGGGCGUAAAGCGCACGUAGGCGGCUUUGUAAGUUAGAGGUGAAAGCCCGGAGCUCAACUCCGGAAUUGCCUUUAAGACUGCAUCGCUAGAAUUGUGGAGAGGUAAGUGGAAUUCCGAGUGUAGAGGUGAAAUUCGUAGAUAUUCGGAAGAACACCAGUGGCGAAGGCGGUUUGCCAGAACGCGCUCGACGGUGAGGGAUGAAAGCUGGGGGAGCAAACCGG